This 435-nucleotide non-coding RNA is filed under the name bovine gut metagenome. The record is from RNAcentral.
CACCAAAAUAUUCGCCCUCGCCCAAGAGAGCGAUGCGCAGCUCCUCGCCGUGAGGACCGCUGCUGAUAACCUCAGCCUGACCGUUGGCAACGAUGAAGAACUUCUGCUUGUCCUUGCCUUCCUGAACAAAUAGUUGACCGAUGCCCAACUCCUUUGUCUCGAACGAACGUGCAAGACGGUUUACAAUCUCGUCGUCGAACUCAGAAAACAGCGGAAUAGUCUUCAGGCUCUUAGCCGAAAACGAUGGCUCGCCGUUGAGAUAUUGUAUCGGGAGACGCUCGCUCUUGCGCAGUUCUACCUUUGUGCGGUUUACACGGAAUGUUCCGCCGCUAACCUGCACCCAAGGCAAGAUUUUAAGCAACAGUCUUGGAGUUAUCGAGCCCAUUUGAGGGGCUGUCUUGGUUGUUGUAGCCAGUUUUCUGGCGGUUGCAGUAG